This 492-nucleotide ribosomal RNA is filed under the name uncultured bacterium. Its description in RNAcentral is "partial 16S ribosomal RNA". It matches the Rfam family "Bacterial small subunit ribosomal RNA", at positions 29 to 507 of the family's 1533-position model. The record is from RNAcentral.
AGUGAACGCUGGCGGUAGGCCUAACACAUGCAAGUCGAACGGCAGCACAGUAAGAGCUUGCUCUUACGGGUGGCGAGUGGCGGACGGGUGAGGAAUACAUCGGAAUCUACUUUUUCGUGGGGGAUAACGUAGGGAAACUUACGCUAAUACCGCAUACGACCUACGGGUGAAAGCAGGGGAUCUUCGGACCUUGCGCGAUUGAAUGCGCCGAUGUCGGAUUAGCUAGUUGGCGGGGUAAAGGCCCACCAAGGCGACGAUCCGUAGCUGGUCUGAGAGGAUGAUCAGCCGCACGGGAGCUGAGACACGGUCCAGGCGCCUACGGGAGGCAGCAGAGGGGAAUAGUGGGCAAUGGGCGCAAGCCUGAUCCAGCCAGACCGCGUGGGUGAAGAAGACCUUCGGGUUGUAAAGCCCUUUUGUUGGGAAAGAAAAGCAGCAGGUUAAUACCCCGCUGUUCUGACGGUACCCAAAGAAUAAGCACCGGCUAACUUCGUG